AAACUGAAGAGUUUGAUCAUGGCUCAGAUUGAACGCUGGCGGCAGGCUUAACACAUGCAAGUCGAGCGGAAACGAUGGGAGCUUGCUCCCAGGCGUCGAGCGGCGGACGGGUGAGUAACGCGUAGGAAUCUACCCAGUAGUGGGGGAUAGCCCGGGGAAACUCGGAUUAAUACCGCAUACGCCCUACGGGGGAAAGGCCGGGAUCUUCGGACCGGUCGCUAUUGGAUGAGCCUGCGUUGGAUUAGCUAGUUGGUAGGGUAAAGGCCUACCAAGGCGACGAUCCAUAGCUGGUCUGAGAGGAUGAUCAGCCACACUGGAACUGAGACACGGUCCAGACUCCUACGGGAG
Molecule: ribosomal RNA, 348 nt
Filed under: Gammaproteobacteria bacterium
Lineage: Bacteria; Pseudomonadati; Pseudomonadota; Gammaproteobacteria
Description: bacterial SSU rRNA
Rfam family: Bacterial small subunit ribosomal RNA
Source: RNAcentral